Molecule: ribosomal RNA, 450 nt
Filed under: uncultured bacterium
Lineage: Bacteria
Description: partial 16S ribosomal RNA
Rfam family: Bacterial small subunit ribosomal RNA
Source: RNAcentral
UUGGGGAAUCUUCCGCAAUGGACGAAAGUCUGACGGAGCAACGCCGCGUGAGUGAAGAAGGUUUUCGGAUCGUAAAGCUCUUUCGUUAGGGACGAACGUGCUCUUUGUGAAUAAUGAGGAGUAAUGACGGUACCUAAAUAAGAAGCCACGGCUAACUACGUGCCAGUAGCCGCGGUAAUACGUAGGUGGCAAGCGUUGUCCGGAAUUAUUGGGCGUAAAGCGCCCGCAGGCGGGAUCUCAAGUCUUGCUUAAAAGUGCGAGGCUCAACCUCGUGAGGGGACAGAAACUGGUAUUCUUGAGUGUAGGAGAGGAAAGUGGAAUUCCAAGUGUAGCGGUGAAAUGCGUAGAGAUUUGGAAGAACACCAGUGGCGAAGGCGACUUUCUGGACGAUGUCUGACGCUGAGGCGCGAAAGCUAGGGGAGCGAACGGGAUUAGAAACCCGGGUAGUCC